CCUACGGGAGGCAGCAGUGAGGAAUAUUGGUCAAUGGACGAGAGUCUGAACCAGCCAAGUAGCGUGAAGGAUGACUGCCCUAUGGGUUGUAAACUUCUUUUAUAAAGGAAUAAAACGAGGCACGUGUGCCUUUUUGCAUGUACUUUAUGAAUAAGCAUCGGCUAACUCCGUGCCAGCAGCCACGGUAAUACGGAGGAUGCGAGCGUUAUCCGGAUUUAUGGGGUUUAAAGGGUGCGUAGGCGGGCUUCGAAGUCAGCGGUAAAAAUUCGGGGCUAAACCCCGUCCGGCCGUGGAAACUGGGGGCGUUGAGUGGGCGAGAAGAAGGCGGAAUGCGUGGUGUAGCGGUGAAAUGCAUAGAUAUCACGCAGAACCCCGAUGGCGAAGGCAGCCUUCCGGAGCCCUACUGACGCUGAGGCACGAAAGUGUGGGGAUCGAACAGGAUUAGAUACCCCAGUAGUC
This 459-nucleotide ribosomal RNA is filed under the name uncultured bacterium. RNAcentral's name for it is "partial 16S ribosomal RNA". It matches the Rfam family "Bacterial small subunit ribosomal RNA", at positions 338 to 795 of the family's 1533-position model. The record is from RNAcentral.